UCGAUGGAGACGUCGUGCCACUGCCACCCGGUGGUGGAGACUCUCACCAGGAUGUACUCCACGGCCGCCGCCGCGUCGUCCUCCGUCGAGCGCCGCUUCUGCACCAGCAUCCCGCCGGGCCGCACCUCCCACUCGAUCCUCUCGUGCUCGGCGACCAUGGCGCAGAUGUCCGCGCCGCCGCCGCCGAUGAUGGUGGUGCUCCUGGACCGGCUCCUGAACAGCCUCCUGGGGCUCGGAAUCUUCACCAUCUCCGCUGCUCUCUGCUCCUAGUCAGUAUCUGCCUCGGUCGAUCACUGGCUGGUCGCUGCCGGUGUGCCGGGACUGGCAGCAGGG
Molecule: unclassified non-coding RNA, 333 nt
Filed under: Zea mays
Lineage: Eukaryota; Viridiplantae; Streptophyta; Magnoliopsida; Poales; Poaceae
Description: misc RNA Zm00001eb144200
Source: RNAcentral